Molecule: RNA transcript, 4713 nt
Organism: Cynoglossus semilaevis (tongue sole)
Lineage: Eukaryota; Metazoa; Chordata; Actinopteri; Pleuronectiformes; Cynoglossidae
Gene name: vesicle-fusing ATPase-like
Exons: 25
Source: RefSeq, a predicted model, not a curated record
CUCUUACGCGAUGACGCUACAGUGCGUAAGUAAAUCCCGCCUCUUGACGUCAUCCCUGUCAGCCGAGCGUUACUGCUGCGUUGCACUUGAAACGGAGCAGUUAAAGAAGAAAAAAACACAAAAUGACGACUCGGAUUAUGCAUGCGGCGAAAUGCCUUUCAGACGAACUGGCACUGACUAACUGUGUUUAUGUCAAUGACAAGGAUCCACCGUUUGAGGCACAUGUGAUUGUGCGGAAUUCAAACCACAAGUUUGUGUUCUCACUGAGGACGCAUCCAAGUGUCAACUCCGGGACUAUUGCCUUCAGUUUACCACAGCGAAAAUGGGCAGGUUUGUCAAUUGGCCAAGAGAUCGAGGUCACAAACUACAAGUUUGACAGGUCCAAACAGUGUGUCAGUACCAUGACAGUGGAGAUUGACUUCCACAAUAAGAAGAUGGUAGACAGUAACCCAUAUGACUCUGACAAGAUGGCCAGUGAAUUUGUCCAGCACUUCAACAACCAGGCCUUCAGUGUGAACCAGCAGCUGGCAUUUAGUUUCAGUGAUAAACUGUUCAGCCUGUUGGUGAAAGAUAUGGAAGCCAUGGAUCCCAGUAUCCUGAAGGGAGAUGGUGGUGGCAAGAAGCAGAAGAUUUCAAUUGGUUUGCUGCUGGGAAACAGUCAGGUUGUUUUUGAAAAGUCAGAGACCUCGUCUGUAUCUCUAAUUGGAAGAUCCAAGACCAGAGAGUCACGUCAGUCCAUCAUCAACCCAGAAUGGAAUUUUGAGAAAAUGGGGAUUGGUGGUCUGGACAAGGAGUUUUCUGACAUCUUCCGUAGAGCCUUUGCCUCUCGAGUCUUCCCUCCAGAUAUAGUCGAUCAGAUGGGCUGUAAGCAUGUGAAGGGAAUCCUGCUCUAUGGACCCCCAGGCUGCGGUAAGACCCUGAUGGCCCGACAGAUUGGCAAGAUGCUCAAGGCUCGGGAGCCAAAGAUCGUCAACGGCCCAGAGAUUCUCAACAAGUAUGUUGGCGAGUCCGAAGCCAACAUCAGGAAGCUGUUUGCAGACGCUGAGGAUGAACAGAAGAGGCUGGGUGCCAACAGCGGACUACACAUCAUCAUCUUUGAUGAGAUCGAUGCCAUCUGUAAACAGCGGGGCAGCAUGGCAGGCAGCACAGGAGUCCACGACACCGUGGUCAACCAGUUACUGUCUAAGAUUGAUGGAGUCGAGCAACUUAACAACAUCCUGGUCAUAGGUAUGACUAACCGGCCGGACCUGAUAGAUGAGGCCCUGCUGAGACCUGGAAGACUAGAGGUGAAGAUGGAGAUUGGCUUACCAGACGAAAAGGGCCGCAUCCAGAUCCUACACAUCCACACAACAAAGAUGCGACAGUACGAGCUUCUAGCCAGAGAUGUGGACAUUCAAGAGUUGGCUGUAGAAACAAAGAACUUCAGUGGUGCUGAACUGGAGGGUUUAGUCAGAGCAGCACAAUCAACUGCAAUGAACCGACAUAUCAAGGCCAGUAAUACUGUGGAGGUAAACAUUGAGACAGCGGAGAAGCUGCUGGUCAGCCGACUGGACUUUAUGGCCUCGUUGAAUAAUGACAUCAAACCCGCCUUUGGCACCAACCAGGAAGACUAUGCCAGCUACAUUAUGAAUGGUAUCAUUCGAUGGGGUGACCCAGUGUCAGCAGUGUUGGAGGAUGGAGAGCUGCUGGUUCAGCAAACAAAAAACAGCGACCGAACACCACUUGUCUCUGUUCUCCUGGAAGGUCCACCCAAAAGUGGUAAAACAGCGUUGGCCGCUAAGAUUUCAGAAGACUCCCAGUUUCCCUUCAUCAAGAUAUGCUCCCCCGACAAGAUGAUCGGGCACUCUGAGAUUGCUAAAUGUCAAGCUAUCAAAAAGAUAUUUGACGAUGCCUACAAAUCCCAGCUGAGCUGUGUUGUUGUAGAUGACAUUGAGCGACUUUUAGACUUUGUCCCAAUUGGUCCUCGUUUCUCCAACCUGGUUCUCCAAGCUCUGCUGGUGUUGCUGAAUAAACUGCCACCAAAGGGUCGAAAGCUGCUGAUCAUUGGUACUACGAGUCGAAAAGAUGUUCUCCAGGAAAUGGGGAUGUUAGAUGCUUUUAGCACCACCAUCCAUGUCCCCAACAUCUCAAGGGGAGAACAGCUGAUUGAGGCUCUGGAGCUACUGGGCAGUUUCCACGAGAAAGAGCGGGCCUUGAUAGCCAAAGCUGUAAAGGACAAAAGCCUCUGGAUUGGCAUUAAAAAGUUAUUAAUGCUGAUAGAAAUGGCUGCUCAGAUGGAUCCUGACCACAGAGUUAGCAAGUUCCUCAGCUUGAUGAAGGAUGAAGGAGCGCUGGUUUCUGAUAAGUUUGUGGCGAUAUAGACUUGGAGAAGCUCCAGUGGGAAACGAAGCAUCCUGCAGUGGCUGUGAUGCUGAAACUGUGGAUUUGUACUCACCACCAAAUGGGAUAGCCUCCAAGCACCCGUGAGCUGGACAACCACACACACAUCAAAUAUCCAAUCAGAUACAAAUCCAUGAGGAUGCCUCAUCCACAGGCCCCAAUAUUAAAGGGCCACUCUUUGAGAAUCACUGCCAAAGUCUGACAGAAGAUUUCAAAUGUGAAGAUUUAACACUAAAGCAUGGCUCCACAGCAUUGUUGGACCAGAUGGAUCACCUCACAGCAGACUGCGAAUAUGCAGCCAUAUGGAAACCAGCCUCUGGCUGCUCUGUUUCCAACUGCCGUUGUCUCUGCGAGGAGAAACCUUCAGGGUGUGAUUGAGCUGGGCGGGCUGAAGGGGCGAGAAGGUCACUCAGCAGGGUCCGAGAGUGUGGAUUGCAGAGAGAGGAGGCCGAGUGCCCACUGCAGAGAGAGAUCUCAGUGACCAGAGUCUGGAGGUCAGUCAUGGAGCGCCCCCACCCAUUUACCCAGCCCCUCUGUGUUUUUAUUCUUCCGUAACAAAGAGGAUGGGGAAACAGGCAGUGACUGAGCAGCACUCGACCUACCACCCAGCUUUAGUCUGGGGUGGGGGGUGAGGGUGAGGGGUGAGGGGUGGGGGGUGUCCUGUGAGUCUCUAAAUGUGACAAUAAUUGAUAGACAUCUUUGUGAAACUUUUGUGAAGCCAGUCUUCAUCCACUCCUGGUGGGGAGUCUUCUAUAUUAUACCAAUAAAGAUGUCUUUUUAAUGCCUCCAGUCAAGAUGCGAUAUGUCACGGCAGUGCUGACAAUGAGGCAGGUCUGUUUUCCAUCAUGAACAUUGUCGUGGGUUACGGCGUUGUCAAAUAUGUGCCGAGCUCAGCUCAGGGAUUUGGAUAAGAGCUCCACUGCAGGAGUGAUAGACUGUGAGCAGGGCCAGGGAUGGAUGAUAGGGAUGUGACACUGGCUCUGAUUUAUGACCCCAGUCUGCAGUCUGCAUCUGAAUAACCUCGAAAAAAACUGGGAUUGCCAGGUCAAAGCCACAAGUGCAGAGCGAACAGUGAGUAAGGUCAAGAACGCGGGAGGAGUUGUGGUGCAGCGUUGUGCAGGAGAAGGCCUCAGUCUGAGUGUCUGCGUCGGUAGCUGGGACAGGAGGGGGAGGCGCGUACAGAGAGCUCCCCUACCGGGCCGGUUUCUACGGUGACUUGAGAAAGGCCGUAACCAGGUCCGGCUCUUUCUCAGGCCCUAAUCAGCGUAUUACCACAAAGAAGGACAUAUGUUCUCCCCCUCCCCGCCGCCUCCCACCUCUCCACCCUCUCCACUCAUUCUGACCGGCAUGGCUGGACACAGGCAGCCAAUAAAACCAGGAUUAGGAGGGUAUCUACACACACUGGGCUGAAGCGACAAAGUUUCUGAACACGCCCCAAUCCCACCCUACUCCGUUCACAAACCUCUUUUCAUGGUUCCUCAUCUGUCUCCCAUUCCUGCCAUCGUUCACUUUAUUCCACUCGCUCCCAUGUUUGUAUCCUCGCUCUGCCUCUUCUCUUUUCAGAGCGCUCACCCCGUAAGCUGUCCACACAAUAGGACAUCCAGAAAUUACUCAUUUUACCAAAGGAGUUCAGCAAAUUCCCAAUGCCUCUUGUCCGGCUCUUUUCUUUACCGUCUGGAUCCUGUGCUCUUUGCUGUUAUGAUAAUGAAAUGAGUUGGCAUCACAAAGACAAAGCUAAAGCUGGAAGGAAGAGAUUAUGAAAAUUUGGGCUUUUAAAUUUUUUUUUUUUUUUUUUACAUAUUAUGAAAAGAGGACAUUACUGUUCCUAAAAUGUUGUGAUCACGAAAACCAAAUCUGUUCACUUCAAAUCAGCCAAAAAGUUGGGGGUAUUUACAACAACAGCUAACAUCUGUAGCUUAGCAGUGCACCACCACUGCAUGAACUAAGUACUUUUUGUAGAACAUUGACUUUUUUAGAAAUUGGUAUCAUUUGGAUAAUUAACAACCCAUUCACUUUUUAAUUACAUUAUAAAAUAGUCAUUUAUGAACUGAGGAUAACAGUUGUUGUUUUUUCUCAUACUUGCUACUAGACUUAACAACACAUGGCUUUUUUUUUAAAUAAGCAUUCAAUGAUCAUCCUGCUUUAUUGUCCUGAAACAUCUUAAUUGCAGCGGCAGUGUCUUAUUCCAAUUUCAAAUUAGCAUCCUUACCAAAGGAAAAUCCAUUCAAACAGCCUGUAUGGUUUUCUUCACCAUUGGCAUCAAGCAGUUUCAUUUGAUUAUGCUAAGCUAAUAGAAUAACCAGUGUUUUCAGUAGAAAUAAAUAAAUAACCCAA